Molecule: long non-coding RNA, 1303 nt
Organism: Canis lupus familiaris (dog)
Lineage: Eukaryota; Metazoa; Chordata; Mammalia; Carnivora; Canidae
Exons: 3
Source: RefSeq, a predicted model, not a curated record
GCGCACGAGGACCCGUGAGCCCUUGCGAGCGGCUCGACCGGGGCUCCCAGGACCCCGGCCCCUGCGCCUGGCGGCGGGGUCGCGUCCGCUGCUCUGGGGCCGCUGCUCUGAGGGGGACACCUUGAAGGUUUCUUCUUCCCGGCUCCUAAUGAAACGGUAAAACCGUCCGGCUGGAAACAUUCCUAGAGAUGAUCUCGCCGACCACCUCGUUUUUAUUAACGGGACGAUGGAGAAGACGGGAGGCGACGGAGGUAGGACUCCGGAGUCGAACGAGCCGGGGUUUGACCCGUGCGAGCAAGGGCGCGCGACCGGGUUUCCUCGAGCCAUGGUUUUCUUGGUCUGCCUCCUAGAGUUGGUCGUACGCCCCCCCUCAGCGAUUUGUUUUAGAAGGCAUGAGGAAAAAGUAAAUAAAUAAAAGGCAUGAGGACACUACGCCGAGAGGCGAGCACGGAGAAAGCGUUCGUGCCAAUAGACAUCUUCUGAAUUAAAAAAAUAAACACUUGCACAAAGCUCACAGACUACGUAGAGAAAUGAAGAAGAUCUUUCCUCUUUCCAGUAUUGGUGCCUGGCCAGAAAUUUACUGUAUAUUAAAGUUAUUUUUUAGUUACUGUUGUCGAAAGAAGUUGCUUCUAAUUUAAUCCUUAGAAUUGAAACACCAGGUGGUUUUAGCAGAGUCUGAGUUGGCACUGACGAUUCUGGUUAUGAAAAUCAAAACCAUUAAAAGUCUUAGCACUGGACCUCCAUAGCUGUGGAGCAGGCACUUGGGGGCACCAGCCACUGCUGAGUGCUUUGGGCAGCUAUCAGAAGCCCAUCUGCCCUUUAAGCCUCAACAGAACAGAGGGACUUCUACACAGAGGUGGAGCUGGAGCAGGCAGGAAGAAAAUGGUGGUGAAGACAACUAUUCUGCAGGUGCACUUGGAGGCUUCACAAAACCAUUUGGGGAGAGAUAAGGAAGUUUGACUUUUCUGCAGAAUGAAUGGAUGCAGAGCCAAAGAAUUACUGUUUUGCAACUGUUGCUGCAGCUCUUUAUUUACUGUAAAGGAUGAUGUUGCCUAACAAACAGGUCUACAAGGGAAGAGCAUUUAUUGCUAAGGUAUCUCUGAAGCUCUUUAAAAUCUAUUAAAGAUAAAAUGUAAAAUAUAAAAAUAUAUAAAAUAUGUACACAUACUCCAAAUACAAUUUAAUAACCUGAGUCAAAAAGUGUAUUUUUUAAUAUAAAGGUUAAAAUUAAGUUAGUACACAGAUGUCAGAAGUCCUUUCAUUAUAACUAAUCUGUUAGAAAUAUAAACCUCGAUCAACUGAC